UUGCCACCUUCCAUUUUGCGGAUGCCUUUCUUUAAUAUUUCUUUCUCUUGUCAUUAGCAUUUUCUGUUUUUUUUUUUUUUCCAUUGUGUUAAGAGACCUUUUUCUUAUCAUUCGGCACGCGAACUGAUUUUUUCCUCUUAUUCAUCUUUUUGUCACAAAUAUGAAUUCUAAAUUUUGUGAUAAGUUCUCUGUGAAGUAUUAACCAAUGCUUCUCUGGGGCCCUUCUAAGAAGGAAGUUGGUAGCGGUUGGGAUCCAAAAUAAGAAAAUAGUGAAAUACGCCCCAUUGUAAAUAGACGCACAGCUGAUGUCUUUCUAGGGUGGAUCAACAAACAAUUGGGAAGUGAUUAGUGGCCAAGAUGGUGAGAAGCCUGACGUUGUUGUUGAAUUAAACGCAACCAACUUCGAUUCAUUACUCAAAAAGACUCUUGUCCCUUAUGCCAUUGUUGAAUUCUUUGCAUACUGGAUUGAAGCCAUGUGAUUCACUUAAAGAUCUUUUAUUAGUCUCAUAGAUUCCCUGCUUGCAGAAAUUAUAAGCCACAAUAUGAGAAGGUUGUGAGACUCUUGAAUGGAGCAGAUGCCAGUCAUCCAGGAAUCAUAUUAAUGACGAGGGUAGACUGUGGAUUAACGGUAUUACUCUAUGCUUCAAAAAAUUACUUUAUCCUGUAUUUGUUUACUCAAUCUCCUCGUUUUAGUUUGCUUUUGUCUAUGGUCAGUACUCAAUAAGCGUAUUAUAUUUUCCUUUUUUUCUGGUGGUUACUGGGAUUUAUGAAAAAUUUUCAUCUUUCUGUGAUGUUAUUUUUCUGAACUUUAAAACUUGUUUCAAUAAAAUAUAAUCCAUGAUUAUGCUCUCUCUCUUUCCCUCUUAUUCAUUAUUUUGAGUGUCUGAAUAUUUACUAUUUUAAGACUGGAACUUCUCUCCAUCUUCUUCCUUUCUUUCAAAGCCUUUUGUCCAGUCAAUGGACAAUCAUAUUUACUUCAGGUCAGGGGGGAUAUCCUAUGAUAUCUCAGAAACAAAGUCUUCGUCUGAGAGGUGGUUCGAAUAGGUAGAAAGUGCUAGAUUAUAUAUGAGGAGGAUGAAUCUAAGUAGGGGACUCUGAGCUGGAUAUGCAGAAGAAUGUAUACAACAUCAGAGUUUAAAGGAAGGUCCUUUAAGACCUAGAAAGUCAGAAAUGUUUCCACCUCUUUUUUUGCUCUCUUAAGUUCAAUAAGUUUGGCAGGUUUCUUUCUAUUAUCUCGGUUAAUGGUCAUUCCAGGGCGAUGAUCAUUAUCCCUGAAAACAAGCCUAAUGAGGGUUGGUUGAGUCUUGCCAACCGCAUUGAAUGCUUCAUUAAUAGAGAGCCUUCAAUGCAUAGGAAUGUUCCCGAAUCCCCAACCAUAGUAACUCUGGCCCAACAGUCUUUAAGGAGAGAGGACACCUACAAAGAAGUUUUAGGAAGAAAUAGGUGGACUUUGCAGGAUCAAACUACUCCAUCUAAUCAGAGAACAACUAUUCCCGAUAGCUAGAAUGAAAGAAACCCCACAAGGAGAUGCCUGGUAGGAAGCUUCCCGGAGUGAGACGAGAUCCCAACUAGAAAUAAUGUGAGAAAAUGGGCCCAACAGACUUGGAAAAUAGCAAAUUUUCAGGUUUAUGAUAUGAAUGGGAUUCAAUUCCUAUUCGAGUUCCACUUAAGAGAAGUUGCAGAACACAUCAUUCUUGGGAAAUGGAAGAAACAAGGAAAGUCUCUAUAGUUAGAUUGGUGGUCGCCACUGGCUGGUACUUAUCCAGCAGAACACAAAUUUGCUUGGUCAUGGAUUCGUUUUCUUGGCCUUCCUCUUCAUCUUUGGUCGGCCAACACUAUGAAAGAAUUAGGAGAUAAAUACGGGAGGUGGAUUAAAACUGAAGAAGAGACUUCUCUGAAGAAUCAUCUCCGAUGGGCUCACCUCAAACUUAAAGGCACCUUCGAUGACAUACCAAAGGAAAUUGAAAUUUCAGAUGGAGAUCUCAUUUUUUUUCCUUGCCUAUCUGGAUAGAAGCUCUGGCAAGAUUUCGACGCUCUGUGGUGGUUGUGCUCGAAAAAAAAUCCAGUUCUUUGUAUAAGAGUGGUGCAGUCAGCUUUACUGAACUUCAAAAGGUGAUGGAGACAAAUUAUGAAUUUAGUUUGAAGAGACAGGGCAAAUAUCCACUGGUUAAUGACCUGCCAGCUGUUGAAGAAGUGGGUCCCAACCAUAUGUUUUUACCCACUAACCCCAACAUGUGCUGCUCACAUAUUAUUCCUCAAAAGUCAUAUUCUGAGUUUUGUAAUAAGAAUGGGUCACUCACUAACAGGAUUUCUUUUGGGCCUCUCAAAUCCCAACCCCCACUUUUGAAAUAUUCAAAACCUACCAAGGCUGAGCCCGUUACAAAAUUUCUUAACUUUAAUUUAAUAACUAACCAGUUAUCCCUCUUCUUUUUCAACAGUUGUGUAGUCGAUGCCCUCAUCAGUGAACUUGACCAGAAAGAAAAACCUAAAUCUUGCAUGUAACUCCACAAUCUUCUACCCAAUGCUUAUGUGACCUUAUCCCAGAAAGAAAAUUCAGUUUUAGCCCCAAGAAGACCAGUUGAAUUUUUGAAUAGAACAACAAAAAUGCUAGGAAACCAAUUAAUUUCUCUGGAGAAUCCAACCCCAUCUAAUUUAAUUCCAGCGAGUGCAGUAAAGAUCUAAAGACUAAAACCUCCUCUUAGGUAAAACAAAACAUCAUCAGACUUAGCAAGGAAUUUGGGGCCCUGUUUGACGGGUUAGAGAAAAAUGCUAAGGUUUUGUUUGGUAAACUAGACCAUAGAAGAGACCAUCCAAAAGAACCAACUAAUAGUAAUCACUUGGUGCAGAAGGAAGUAUGAAAUUUAAUAUUUAAGGUAAAAUACAAAGAUGGGGAGCCAAGAGGUAAAUUGAGGAAAGGGAGGAGACUACCUAUAAGUGAUCAAUGAAAGUCAAAAUUCUAUCUUGGAAUGUCAGGGAGCUUAAUGGGGUAGAUAAAAGAAAUUUGGUAAAACAACUAGUCCAUCAAUGAGGUGCCAAUUCAGGUUCUUAUAGAAACUAAACUUGAAGGGGAAGUCAAUAGUCUAACAGGGGAUCUUUGGUCCAACAGAUGGGUAGGGAUACUCACCUGGAGGCCAGGGGAAGUAGUGGGGGAAUCCUUAUCUUAUGGAUAAGAGAGAACGGUUAGGGGAGUUGAUUAAUACUGGAAGCCAAUCGAUUUCAUGUAAAUUCACUGGCAUAAAUCAGGGGUUGAUAUGGUAACUUACUAUAGUUUACACCAACUGCAAUUGGGUUAGUAAAAGAGAUCUUUGGAAUGAGUUGGACAUCAUCAUAACUAUCUAUUAAGGGAUUUGGGUGGUAUAUGAUGACUUUAAUGUAAUAAGAUUUGUGCCUAAAAGGAAAAAUUGCAAUAGGUUCACUGGGGCAAUGGCUGAAUUCUCUAACUGUAUCAAUGACUUAGAAUUGAUAGACCCUCCUUUAUUUGGAGGAUCUUACACAUAGAGAAGGGUGAAAAUCAGAAUAGUGCAUCUAGAUUUGACAGGUUCCUUUACUCUACUAAAUUGGAAGACUCAUUCACUCAGGUUAAACAAACACUAGUCCUAAGACUAGGUUCUGAUCACAACCCAAUUCUAUUAACCUGUGGUGACUGGGCAUUUAAAAAAUCUUACUUUAAAUUCAAAAAUUAGUGGCUUGAAGUUGAGGGGUUCAGGGAUAAGGUAAAGGAUUGGUGGAACUCUUUCCCAAGUACAAAAAUACCAACUUACAUUUUGGCAAAUAAGCUCAAGAUCCUCGAAAGGAGAUAACACAAUGGAGUAGAAAUCAGAGAGUGAACUGGAAA
Molecule: long non-coding RNA, 3835 nt
Organism: Capsicum annuum
Lineage: Eukaryota; Viridiplantae; Streptophyta; Magnoliopsida; Solanales; Solanaceae
Exons: 4
Source: RefSeq, a predicted model, not a curated record